AUGAUAAUGGACACAGGAAGUAGGAACAAGGAAGAAGGGCAUGAGGGGAAGGAGACCCAAGAGCCUACCAAUAGUGAAGGAAAAGGACAGACAGUAAAAGCGACUGAUUUGGGAAGGCAGGGAGAACAGGAAAAAGCAACUACUUACAUGCUAAGUAGAAGUCAGAAGCCUUUGUGUGAGGCUAGUAAAGGGGAUUCAAUUUUAAUGUAUGUGGGAACAGAACCUCCUAACCUCCAGGCUAGUAAAGGUAAGAGAAACACGUUCAAAAGGAUGGCGCGCCCCAAUACCAGCGAACCUCAGCCCUCACUCAGCCAGAAUAAAAAAAAGAAGAGGUGCAGAUCUGAUGGAGAUCGAUGA
Molecule: ribosomal RNA, 357 nt
Filed under: Triticum aestivum (bread wheat)
Lineage: Eukaryota; Viridiplantae; Streptophyta; Magnoliopsida; Poales; Poaceae
Description: partial small subunit ribosomal RNA
Source: RNAcentral